This 482-nucleotide ribosomal RNA is filed under the name uncultured bacterium. RNAcentral describes it as "bacterial SSU rRNA". It matches the Rfam family "Bacterial small subunit ribosomal RNA", at positions 29 to 506 of the family's 1533-position model. The record is from RNAcentral.
UUGAACGCUGGCGGCAUGCUUUACACAUGCAAGUCGAACGGCAGCGGGGGCUUCGGCCUGCCGGCGAGUGGCGAACGGGUGAGUAAUGCAUCGGAACGUACCCAGUCGUGGGGGAUAACUACGCGAAAGCGUAGCUAAUACCGCAUACGCCCUGAGGGGGAAAGCGGGGGACCUUCGGGCCUCGCGCGAUUGGAGCGGCUGAUGUCGGAUUAGCUAGUUGGUGGGGUAAAGGCCUACCAAGGCGACGAUCCGUAGCUGGUCUGAGAGGAUGAUCAGCCACACUGGGACUGAGACACGGCCCAGACUCCUACGGGAGGCAGCAGUGGGGAAUUUUGGACAAUGGGCGCAAGCCUGAUCCAGCCAUGCCGCGUGAGUGAAGAAGGCCUUCGGGUUGUAAAGCUCUUUCAGACGGAAAGAAAUCGGGCGCGUGAAUAGCGUGCCUGGAUGACGGUACUGUCAGAAGAAGCACCGGCUAACUACGU